This is a long non-coding RNA of Silurus meridionalis, 1164 nucleotides long. RefSeq lists it as uncharacterized. The record is from RefSeq and is a predicted model, not a curated record. NCBI's taxonomy places the organism in Eukaryota, Metazoa, Chordata, Actinopteri, Siluriformes, Siluridae. The transcript has 3 exons.
GAGGUUUCUGUUUGCGUCAUCACAACAAACUGUUUCGGCCGUGUUUUUUCGGUGAUCAAAGUCUUUCGGCCGAAAACCGAAAAUUUUCGGUGGCCGAAUAUUCGGUGCAUCCCUAAUCUUUAUACAUGGGUCAUGAGGGUGAGGGCUUAGAGUAGGACUGGGGAUUAGUGAUGUCCGGUUCGUGAACGAAUCGUUCAUUUGAACUGGUUCUUUUUAAUGAACCGGUUCACCAAAUCGGACUGAAUCGUUUAAAACAGUUCGCGUCUCAAAUCAGCACUAAUCAACAAAAUUACUCAAGUUACUCACUUUUGAAUGUGUAUGACCGUCUAUCCGACUCAAAAUAAAUCAAUAUCCCUGAGAAUGGGGUUCUUCUCUAGUUUCUCCAACAGUACACACAUUAAACUGAAACAUGCUGCUGAACAAGUGAUCAUCACUGAGCAUGCGCAUACCUGCCGAUUCCGAGCAGCACACAUACUGCUGUUCUCGAGUCACCAGUACUGUAUCAAGAACCGUUUCUUUCGGACACGUCCGACAUACUACUGAUACCAGCGAAUUUUUGAUACUGAGCAUGCGCGACCUACCGAGCAGUACGCGUGCUGUCUGACAUUAAUUAAUACACACACACACUUUUGGACUCCGAAUCAGAUGCGUUCGACAUACUGCAAAGGCUGGUGCUGCGCUGCUGAUAUAUGAGCACAGGUGAACUGAGGACUUAAAUGAAAAAGCAACCUCCUGUACUAGUCUGGUUUCCAAAGAGGCCACUCAACUAAGACUGUCCUGCUCUUGGUUAUUAAAGCUCUGUGACUCCAGCAACUUUUAAGUCAUCUGUGCUCGUUUUGCUGGAUUUGUUUGCGGCUUUUGGAACAGUUAUCCACCUGAUUGUCUGUGUCUUUGAAAACCUCACUCCAGUUGUCCAAGUCUUACCUCUCAGAUGGCUGUCCCGAUAGUUGCUGCUCUCAUCUUUGCCUCCUGGACAGAAAUAUCUUGCUGUAUGUUGAAUGAUCAUCAACUCAACCCUGCCAAGACAGAACUGCUCAUGUUUUCAGCUGACAUAACUUUGGUGUUAUUGUUGACGCAUAUACAGUGGAACCCGGUUAUGUCGAUGUCCUAGGGGGUUGCCAAAAAGCAUCGAGAUAACCGAUGAUCGAGAUAAACGAAAAUAAA